GCUUCCACAUUCUCCUUGUUUCCUCCUUCAGAUUUUCUAGAUUAACUCUCAGGUUCCACGCAAGACAUCGGUCCAUGGCUGGUAUCAGAGCGGUGCUAGGUUCUAAUAAUUGGUAUCAAAGUAAUAUUAGGUUUUUUUCAAUUUGUAUCAGAGCAAUAUCAGGUUCCCUUCAAUCCCCGCACCACUGUUCCUGCACCACCAGCAUCCCUGGGCUUGCUUACCCAUUCUUUUGGUGAGUAUUAGCGAUGGUG
RNAcentral lists this long non-coding RNA (251 nucleotides) under Elaeis guineensis (African oil palm). RNAcentral describes it as "long non-coding RNA (EGUI_LNC018064)". Lineage: Eukaryota; Viridiplantae; Streptophyta; Magnoliopsida; Arecales; Arecaceae. The record is from RNAcentral.